UCCCUAGUGUCUUAGUUGGUAAAGAAUCUGCCUGCAAUGCAGGAGACCCGAGUUGGAUCCUUGGGUUGGGAA
Molecule: transfer RNA, 72 nt
Filed under: Ovis aries (sheep)
Lineage: Eukaryota; Metazoa; Chordata; Mammalia; Artiodactyla; Bovidae
Rfam family: tRNA
About the family: Transfer RNA (tRNA) molecules are approximately 80 nucleotides in length. Their secondary structure includes four short double-helical elements and three loops (D, anti-codon, and T loops).
Source: Rfam by way of RNAcentral